RNAcentral lists this transfer RNA (86 nucleotides) under Clostridiales bacterium. RNAcentral describes it as "tRNA-Leu". It matches the Rfam family "tRNA". Rfam says of the family: Transfer RNA (tRNA) molecules are approximately 80 nucleotides in length. Their secondary structure includes four short double-helical elements and three loops (D, anti-codon, and T loops). Further hydrogen bonds mediate the characteristic L-shaped molecular structure. tRNAs have two regions of fundamental functional importance: the anti-codon, which is responsible for specific mRNA codon recognition, and the 3' end, to which the tRNAs corresponding amino acid is attached (by aminoacyl-tRNA synthetases). tRNAs cope with the degeneracy of the genetic code in two manners: having more than one tRNA (with a specific anti-codon) for a particular amino acid; and 'wobble' base-pairing, i.e. permitting non-standard base-pairing at the 3rd anti-codon position. Lineage: Bacteria; Bacillati; Bacillota; Clostridia; Eubacteriales. RNAcentral also lists the same sequence under 2 other names. The record is from RNAcentral.
GCCGGUGUGAUGGAAUGGUAGACGUGACGGACUCAAAAUCCGUUGGUAGCAAUACCGUGUGGGUUCAAGUCCCACCACCGGCACCA